RNAcentral lists this ribosomal RNA (253 nucleotides) under uncultured bacterium. RNAcentral describes it as "partial 16S ribosomal RNA". It matches the Rfam family "Bacterial small subunit ribosomal RNA", at positions 524 to 776 of the family's 1533-position model. The record is from RNAcentral.
UACGAAGGGGGCUAGCGUUGCUCGGAAUCACUGGGCGUAAAGCGCACGUAGGCGGCUUGUUAAGUCAGGGGUGAAAUCCUGGAGCUCAACUCCAGAACUGCCUUUGAUACUGGCGAGCUUGAGUUCGGGAGAGGUGAGUGGAACUGCGAGUGUAGAGGUGAAAUUCGUAGAUAUUCGCAAGAACACCAGUGGCGAAGGCGGCUCACUGGCCCGAUACUGACGCUGAGGAGCGAAAGCCAGGGGAGCAAACGGG